RNAcentral lists this ribosomal RNA (468 nucleotides) under Selenomonas sp. oral taxon 133. RNAcentral describes it as "bacterial SSU rRNA". It matches the Rfam family "Bacterial small subunit ribosomal RNA", at positions 28 to 472 of the family's 1533-position model. Lineage: Bacteria; Bacillati; Bacillota; Negativicutes; Selenomonadales; Selenomonadaceae. The record is from RNAcentral.
GACGAACGCUGGCGGCGUGCUUAACACAUGCAAGUCGAACGGAGCGAAUGAAAGCUUGCUUUUAUGAGCUUAGUGGCAAACGGGUGAGUAACACGUAGACAACCUGCCGAUCAGAUGGGGACAACAUUCCGAAAGGAAUGCUAAUACCGAAUGGUGUGCGGGGGAGGCAUCUCCCCCGCAUGAAAGAUGGCCAAUACAUGUAAGCUAUCACUGAUUGAUGGGUCUGCGUCUGAUUAGCUGGUAGGUAAGGUAACGGCUUACCUAGGCGACGAUCAGUAGCCGGUCUGAGAGGAUGAACGGCCACAUUGGGACUGAGACACGGCCCAGACUCCUACGGGAGGCAGCAGUGGGGAAUCUUCCGCAAUGGGCGCAAGCCUGACGGAGCAACGCCGCGUGAGUGAAGAAGGUCUUCGGAUCGUAAAGCUCUGUUGAAGGGGACGAACGUGUAUAGUGCAAAUAGUGCUAUAU